CCUACGGGUGGCAGCAGUGGGGAAUAUUGCACAAUGGGGGAAACCCUGAUGCAGCGACGCCGCGUGAGCGAAGAAGUAUUUCGGUAUGUAAAGCUCUAUCAGCAGGGAAGAAAAUGACGGUACCUGACUAAGAAGCUCCGGCUAAAUACGUGCCAGCAGCCGCGGUAAUACGUAUGGAGCAAGCGUUAUCCGGAUUUACUGGGCGUAAAGGGGGCGUAGGCGGCCUGCCAAGUCUGGGGUGAAAUGCCGAGGCUCAACCCCGGGGCCGCCUUGGAAACUGGUGGGCUGGAGGGGAGGAGGGGCAGGCGGGAUGUCUGGUGGAGCGGUGGAAUGCGUAGAUA
Molecule: ribosomal RNA, 341 nt
Filed under: uncultured bacterium
Lineage: Bacteria
Description: partial 16S ribosomal RNA
Rfam family: Bacterial small subunit ribosomal RNA
Source: RNAcentral